Molecule: long non-coding RNA, 350 nt
Filed under: Lathyrus oleraceus (garden pea)
Lineage: Eukaryota; Viridiplantae; Streptophyta; Magnoliopsida; Fabales; Fabaceae
Description: Pisum sativum (pea) long non-coding RNA (PSAT_LNC034610)
Source: RNAcentral
UGGCCUCUCUCAAUCAGUCAUGCUAGUAAAUAUAUAUAGGAACAAAUUAGGUUAAUGAUAAUGGGCCUAAGUUUAUUUUGAAACCCAAUAUUAAAUUAAAAACUGAAUAAAGUUAAAUAAUUAAAAUAGUUAAAAUUAAAGUAAAAACUAAUUAACCUAUUUAUUUAUUCUAGACCUAAUAUAAAAAUAAAUAGACUCAAAAAAAAAUUAAAAAAAAUUAAAAUAAAAAAAUUAAAAUAAAAGUCGGGCACCAAAAUGCUCGAAAAAAUAAAAUGAACAUGUCAAAAUAAUCAGCGCGAAAUAAAUGACUCGGAAAAAUACAGCGUUUGGUCGGAUUUUGAAAUAAAAAU